Molecule: signal recognition particle RNA, 299 nt
Filed under: Prolemur simus (greater bamboo lemur)
Lineage: Eukaryota; Metazoa; Chordata; Mammalia; Primates; Lemuridae
Description: Metazoan signal recognition particle RNA (ENSPSMG00000022464.1)
Rfam family: Metazoan signal recognition particle RNA
About the family: The signal recognition particle (SRP) is a universally conserved ribonucleoprotein. It is involved in the co-translational targeting of proteins to membranes. The eukaryotic SRP consists of a 300-nucleotide 7S RNA and six proteins: SRPs 72, 68, 54, 19, 14, and 9.
Source: RNAcentral
GCCUGAUGCAGUGGUGCAAGCCUGUAGUCCCAGCUAGGCUGGAGGCUGAGGCGGGAGGAUGCCUUGAGCCCAGGAGUUCUGGGCUGUAGUGUGCUAUGCUGAUCAGGUGUCUGCACUAAGGUCGCCAUCAAUAUGGUGACUUCCCAGGAGCAGGGGACCACCAGGUUGCCUAAGGAGGGGUGAACCGGCCUAGGUCAGAAACGGAGCAGGUCAAAACUCCUGUGCUGAUCAGAAGUGGGAUCGUGCCUGUGAAUAGCCACUGCACUCCAGCCUGGGCAACACAGUGAGACCCCAUCUCA